GAUUUUUGGUUUGGUCACUGAACCAAAAUAUAAAUCAUUGGCUCAGCUCUAUACUCCAGGGCUCUGUGAGUUAGAAAUGGCUCAUGCUGUUGGGGCUUUAUUCAGGUUACGCUGCAGUGGCACUUAGUAGAGGAAGAAGCAAUGAUCAUGUAUCUCUCAUGGGUAUAACCACUCAGCCACUCCCAUCCCUGUUAAAUUCCCAGUCACCACCCAGCACUUGCUCCUAUAAAAUGCUUUUCUCAGAUCCUUAAAGGUGCCUAAAUACCCUUGUGGACCUUGGCCCUUGCAACUUCUUGACAUUUAACCCUGACAUCGCUAUCCCACUGAAUUUGUCCCUGUAGAUAUCCCCAAGUCAUUGUGUGACUUUUAUCCUGUAAAUACCCAGCUAAUCUACGGCUUCUGAAACUGUAAAUACUCAACCACUCAAAGAAAAUAAUACCCUUUGUAUAUCUUGCUCCACCAUGUCUUAUCCUGCAAUCAGGACAUUUUUGCUCUGCCGGUCCCCAGCCAUUCCCAGUUGCUUCCUUGCUAGGGUGCAAACACACAUGUGGCCAGAUUAAGGCCAGGACGCUAGGUUAUCUCUGAGAACUGCCAGGGGAUGUUUAUUUUGCUCUGGUGAGGCCAUGAGAGAGGACAGGUCAGGGUUGGGCUUAACCCCUCUGGCUUUGCACACAGCAGUAUCCCUGUGUGCAGUUCCUACCUAUGCUGAAAUCUGCUUAGCUGGGGACAAAUAAAGCUGGGGUUUAAGGUAGACCCCAAGACGACGACUCCUGAGGAGAUCCAGUGCUUGGUAAAUGUGACAAACAUGGUCGAUAGGGGAACUUGCAGGCUCCAGUCAUGGAGCAGUGGUGGGGUUGGCAUCAGAAGAAUGGGCAUGCCUGACUCCUGCCUGCUAAGCUAUGGGCAAAUGUUCCUCUCAGUCAGUUGUUCUAGUCCCCUCCCCCACCAUAAUGCCACUUGCUGUGCGUGUAAUCUGCAGGUUACUGUAUCUCCCCCAUAGGGGGCAUCAAGGCCAAGGCAGACCAGAACACCAUGUUUAGCAUUUCAUGAAGUCACAUCUGCUUGUAUCUCUCCCACCCCGCCUUUGUGCUGAGCAGCCUGAAGGCAUUCAAAAGGAGGUGACCCAGAGCUCCCUCAUCUGCACAAAAGGUAAGGGCCUCUCUCCAAAUUCUGUACUGCUGAGACUAGAACCAGCAGGGAGGGCAGCAAAGGGAGGGAAUCUACAGUGUCUCCCUCAGUUCCCAGCUAACAUGGUACACUCAGAUACAGCCACGUAAAACAAACCCUUGGGUGUGAACUGGUAGCUAGGACUCUCGCAAAACACUGUGAAUGCCUGUUACAUUGCACUGCUCCUAAUAUUACAUCCACACCAAGGACAGCCAAAACUCCAUCAAAAUCCACUCCAGCAAAUCCUUCAAAAGGAGUUUGCAAGUGGACAGCAAGAACUGCCUGCUGCUUCCGCAGACAGCCCUGCCUGAUGGUUCAUGUAUGUGAAUGGCAAUGGCUGUGUCUAUGGCCUACACUGGAAACUUCAAAGCGCUGUCAUGGGAACACUCCUGGGGCAGAGCUUUGAAGUGCGAGUGUGGUUGUGCGUGAGUGCUGGGAGAAAGAUGUCCCAGCACUCCUGGUAAUCCACCUCCACGUGCUCCCACUCCCCUGAGCCAGCAAGUUAGAGCACUAUAAAAUAUAAGUGUAGCCAAGCCCUAUGUGCAGCUCAAAGAUCCCCAGCCCACUGCUCCUCACUGUGGGGCCACUCCACCCAGUAAUGAACCAUUCUUGUGUUUGCCUCUUUUGUUCUUUGGUACAUUCAUUCUUCCUGUGUUUCUUUUGUUUUUUGUUUCAUUGUUUCUUACGCUUUUUGUUUCAUUCUUUAUUCACUGUCUCUCUAGCUCCUUCUUUCUCUUUCAUGUAUCCUGUUCCUGUGUUUCCUUCACUGUUUUGAAGAAACUUUUUCUUAAGCUUCUUCAGAUCAAUUCUGCACCCAGAAAAAUAGAUGUAUUUUUUUAGCUUUAGAAUCUCCAAGUGGCACAUGAGGCAACCCAUUUUUCCCACUGCUGUCUGUCCAGAGCAAGAUGAGUCACUCCAUUAUAAGUUGUCUCCAUGAUGGAUGCAUCAUUUUCAAUCCUCCUGCUCAGAGAAGUGGAUGUAUUUCCAAGUGAAAUUUAUGCCAAUUACAUCCUAUUGCGCUCUUUUUGGUUUUCCUCUUUCCCAGGCAGUGAGGUUUCUCGGGGACAUUAACUGCAAUGGAUUGUGUCUCCAUUGCAGAUACAAUCAUCUUCCAGGAGGAGUCUCUGUGCUGUAGUAUGAGUCAAAAUUGAAUCUGGAUCUGAACUUAAUGAUGUGGAAAAGAGGAUAGAAGCAGAUCUGUCAGAAAGGUGUUUGAGAACUGCCACGGUGUUAAAUGCAGGAUGGGAGUGAUUGGGGUUUUAUUGUCAGGAUUAGUUUCCCUUUGUUAUAGACAAUCCUGAGAUACAAGAUCCUCAUGCCCCAAAAGACAUCUGGGUUCAAUCUCUCUCUGCAGACAGUGAACGCUUCCUACACAGCAGCCUUGCAGCAAAGUUUGAUCUGCUCCUUUCAGACAGGUCACUUCCCACCGUUGCCUCAGCUCCCUGAAUGACAAGAACCAGCCAACAGGGAAACAGGGGAGAGGAGGGUUUAAAACAGGAUGACUGAUUAUAAAUAUUGUUACAAAUCUGGAGCACCCAAGGACUUCCGUGUUGUCACUCUGCUGAACUGCAUGGCCCCUCAGGGCUGCACUGUGACUGUGUGCAUAGGACUUGGCUUCUCCUGCCUCAAAAACCUGGGCCUCAAUGACUGGAGCAAAAGGGGAUUCUCCACUAUAUGUUAGCAGUAUAGAGCCUAUGAUACACAACUAAGCAUUUCUGAUUCAUCCAACAAUGCCCUGCAGUGCAAAUGUAUACUAAAUAGCUGGGUACAAUGUUAGUGCUGUUUUAUAAUGGGGAUGAUUCACCUUUACUCCCUGCACCCCUUUAGCCCUCCCUGGGCUCAGUCAUUAAGUAGUCCCAGCCCUGGUAUGGGACCAUAUCCCCAGGGCUUCCUCCCUGGAGACACAACCUUCCUAAGGCCAGCUCAGUCCCAGCAUCCAGCCCAGAGCUCCUUCUUUGCUCCCCUGGUCCCUACUAGCAAAUUGUCUUUGGCUCAGUCCUAGCAGCCAGCUAGGAUCCUCUCACCGCCCCAGUCCCUGCCGCCACUUAGCUGUCUGUGCGCCUGCUGCUCUUCAGCCAGGUACACAGUCCCUUCUUCUCCAGCUCCAAACAGGAACUAACUGCUGAGUUGUUCUGCAGCUCCUUUUAUAUGGCCCUCCUGGCCCCUGACUGGCUGUUCCAGCAGCUCCUCUGAUUGGUUGCUUCCGCACAACCACUCUAGGCUGCUUGGAGGAUCUCUCCACAGCUCCUUGCUUGGGGUGGGUGUGGCAAACCCUGAGGCCUCCAAGCAGUUGCCCUUUGGGCCUAGUCCACCCCAUCACAAGGCCCCAGGUAACAAAGUCCAGUAAUUUUGGAUCACGUCCCUGUACUAUGGUCCUAAUGAAACACUUAGAACAUUAAGUUCCAUGCAGGGUGAGGGAGCUACUGUGCCUCAUGGCAACACCCUUUCUGUCUCUAGGUGUUUAUAGAGCACCAGCACCAUAGAAACCAGGCACUGUAUUAAUAAGCCUUCUCUCAUGCCCUCUCCCUCCAGGGGACCCUUCGCUACCCUCUCUCUCCUCGAUGUCAUUAAGUUAUCACAGUGCAACAGGUAAAUCAGAAAGGUCUUCACAGGCUAUUCGUGCUCUGGAGCAGAACGUUUCCUCUUCAUUUGUGGUCCAGACUGAUCCAGUCUCUCUCAUUUCAGUUAUGCCAGGACAUGCAAUAGCUCCAGGGUGGCCAUUGUUGAUGGCAGGAUGCUCUCAGGCUUCAUCUCUUCAUAUCAUCCUGGUAGAAGGUCUCUCAGAAGAAUAUCAGUUUCUUAGCUGAGCAAGAACUUCCUGUGUCCAAUAUCAAACUGGCUUCAGUGCUGAUCUACGGUUAAUAUGAAAGAGCUGCAGCUGUAGGGACAGAAACAAAUUCUGCAUCUUUCCACUGAGGAGGCAAGAGGUCCAUGUACUUGUAUCAUGAAUGGAAGAUCACAGCCUAGGUUGGUUGUAAUACACUGGAAGGAUUUGGGGCAAACACGUCUUGCUGAGUACAGCACAGCCUGUGGUCAGACAUCUCACCCGGAAAGCAGCUGCAAGUCUGCAGCGAUUAGAGUAACGUGACAAAUAUGGAAUGCGAACUGAGGAAAGAAGCUGGACAGUUUAUUUCCCUCUGACUAUAGACUGUUAGUAAAUGUUACACUUACAAUCUGGCUGACUGCAUGCUGUGACUGUGCAGUAGGUAACUUGGCUAGAUUCAACCCUAGUGUGUAUAUCCCCUCCAUAAACUCCCUCUAGAUCUAUAAGACCACACAUGACCCUGGUUCCACACUCAGACUGAGAACUGUAGUUGGUCAAAGCAUGUAACAUUCCCCAUAAUAAACUUCUCAAAUUCCACAUGCCUGGGUCCUGGUUAUCUUGUUCUCUCCACACACUUUAGUGGCAAGAACACUUGCUGUUAGUAAACUCAAUGGCAUUUCCCUUUUGUAGUGCAAUAAAAACUUAUGAACACCCCAGCUGACCAAUUCCAAAAUUUCAGGGAAUGUUCUAGGCAUCAGUGGGCAGAACCCUGCAGAUUUUGAAGAAACAUGGAUAACUGGAAAAGCCUGAUUUCUACUGGUGCAUGUGUAAUUUAAAGUCAGGCCUACAACAUAUGCAUUUGCUGCAGGCAAAGAAAUCUCUGGUGCCCCCUGCUGCUGCCUACACAAAUCACAAGCUGCUGUUUAAUAUGCUGCUGUCUCUCCAUUAGGUGGAUUGCUAGGCCUAUGUAACCAAUGAUGUGUGCAAUUUC
Molecule: long non-coding RNA, 4922 nt
Organism: Mauremys mutica (yellowpond turtle)
Lineage: Eukaryota; Metazoa; Chordata; Testudines; Geoemydidae
Exons: 5
Source: RefSeq, a predicted model, not a curated record